AGAAUGAGAAUUUCCAAUAUGUGCUUCCAGCAGACAAGAUGCUGCUCUGGGAACUCAUGAAGUCAAAAAAGUUACCAAUGUCUCAAUAUCCGAGCCACAGGUGAAGGAGGGUGACGUGGUGCAAUUACUUGAGUCCCACGGAGAACUGUCGAAUGAAGAUUUAAUGCAACCAGAGAUACAAUAAACUGAAGCAAGCUGUUGAAACACCAGCCCCUUGAAUGUUAACAAAAUGAUUGUCUAACUUCCGACUUAUUGACGAAGCAAUGGCUUCACCGGGGCUAUCCAAACAGAGAAUGCAGUUCCAAAGUGAAUAAAGCAGUCAAUAAUAUUAACUGUUACAAGAUACUUUACCAACAAAAAACCUCCAGUCUUUGGAUAAUUUUUUUCAAGCUUGAUGAUUCUGUCCCCCAUCCCGUUAACUCCACCACUCCAACCAUCACUGGAUAUAACUGCAUUUGCUGCCCCAAUCUCAGCUCUCAUUUUACACAGGAAAUCUAAGUCAACUGUAGUCAUGUACUACUGGUCACCUGCACCCUGAUCAAAUUCACCAG
Molecule: long non-coding RNA, 551 nt
Organism: Carcharodon carcharias (great white shark)
Lineage: Eukaryota; Metazoa; Chordata; Chondrichthyes; Lamniformes; Lamnidae
Exons: 3
Source: RefSeq, a predicted model, not a curated record